GAUGAACGCUGGCUACAGGCUUAACACAUGCAAGUCGAGGGGAAACGACGGGGAAGCUUGCUUCCCCGGGCGUCGACCGGCGCACGGGUGAGUAACGCGUAUCCAACCUGCCUCUGACUGAGGGAUAACCCGUCGAAAGUCGGCCUAAUACCUCAUGGCAUCGUCUGCGGGCAUCCAACGACGAUUAAAGAUUUCAUCGGUCAGGGAUGGGGAUGCGUCUGAUUAGCUAGUUGGCGGGGUAACGGCCCACCAAGGCGACGAUCAGUAGGGGUUCUGAGAGGAAGGUCCCCCACAUUGGAACUGAGACACGGUCCAAACUCGUACGGGAGGCAGGAGUGAGGAAUAUUGGUCAAUGGGCGAGAGCCUGAACCAGCCAAGUAGCGUGCAGGAUGACGGGCCUAUGGGUUGUAAACUGCUUUUAUGCGGGGAUAAAGUGAGGGACGUGUCAUUCAUUGCAGGUACCGAAUGAAUAAGGAACGGCUAAUUCCGUG
Molecule: ribosomal RNA, 491 nt
Filed under: uncultured bacterium
Lineage: Bacteria
Description: partial 16S ribosomal RNA
Rfam family: Bacterial small subunit ribosomal RNA
Source: RNAcentral